AACAGAGACGGAUGCUGCCCGGUGGCAUCUGAGCCCCUCCAACCCACACUCCGGGGAGGGUCACCCGGGCCUUGCUCGGGCUUCCUGCCUGGCACCCAUCCCUGGCCCUCUCUGGCCCCAACUGAGGCAGGGGACAGUGCCUGUCUGAGGUGGCCCAUAAACUCUCCCCACUGAGGUGAGAACGCCCAGGUGCCCCCAACCUAUCGAGGGGUUCCUGCUCAGACCUCUCCCUUAGAUAUUCUGUGACGCAGCUACCAAAAAGCCUACAUCCCUGUUUUAAAGCACAAGGCUAAGAAUGCCAUUCAUCGUUGCUUCCAAUGCAAAUCAAACGUACUCGGAUUCUCCAAAAACAUUCUGACAUCCAGAGACUGGGUGUAGCUCUACUUGCGAGGUGACCUCUUCAUGGAGAGCCAUUUCCAGAUAUUUCCAAGUCUCUCAAUCCCGUGAUGGGCACAGGGGAGGAGGCAAAGCUGCUGGGGGUGAGGAGAAGCCUUGGGAUGGAGCCCCACUUGAGGCCUUGGCUGGCCCGUUUUGCCACCUCGUUCCUUGACGCUCAGUUCUUUAUCUGCAGAAUGAGCACACUGAUGCCUAAAGAGCAUGGUGGAGUAGAAGGGGCAUCCGCUUUGGAAUCAAACAGACCACAGACCUGGUUUUCAACCCCCCACUCUGCCACCUUGGGGAUCAGCAGGUCUCACCCUGUCUCAGGAAGACGUCAGGGGUCAGCACAAGGCCAGACUCCGAGUUGAUGAGUCACUCUGGGAGAAGGCCAAUCGCAGGAUGAAGGUCUGGUUCCAUUAAAAGCAGGCAACGUGGUGGAAAAACGUAUUUUGGAGAAAGCAGUAGAGGGGUGAGGCCAACAAACUUUGGUUCUUCUCCAAGCCAGUACAUCUGCUAUGGCACCCGUGGAGAACCACUGAAAGGUGUGGUGAAAAGCUAGAGCCCACAUGCAUUACUGCUCCUUCUUUCCCACACGUCACCACCACCAUUACCUCUAUUACCACACCUCUCCACCGUCAUCACCGUCUCUGCCCCUACCCCCCAUCACCUCCACUAGCUUCCCUCCAAUGCCAUCACAUUAUUUGGCAAGUACCAUUCUAGGAGCUGUGUUUCCUUUUCAUUUAAUUUAUUUAACAUGAGCUGUUUUCUUUAAUAACGAGGAAACCAUUAGAGACGUCGGGCAACAUGACCAAGGUAUAUGUCUUGGAGUCACAGAGUUGGAAUUCUCACCCAAGCCUGUCUAAUACUAAGGCUGUGCUCUCGACCACUGUGACAGACCGAAGAUGCCCCUUAGGGCUGAAGGGUAGAGUCCAGAUGAACAAACCACAAAGCAAAGGCCGAUCCUACUCCAUCCCACCAACAGCCACUCCUCUCUGCUCACAUGGACGUUCAGUGACACCGUAGUACUCUUUAGAAUCAUGGUGAUUAUUAUCCUUCUUCUCCCUUGGGGCCAUGGCUCCCUUCCUCAUUUUCACCAGCAAGAGGCAGUUGCCACGUCCCUUCUAUUGUAAAUCAUCAUGGCCAUUCUUGCCUUCCUAGUGGGUCACUGUGACCUCUGCUUGAGGAUUUCAGGGAAAUACCAAUUUCUUUCACAAAAGCUCCCCAACAUCUAGCACAGCAGGAGACGUAAGCCAAAUCUUAACGUGUGACCGAACGAAGUGCAGGACCACCUGCUAGCCCCAUGUGCCCUAGGCUUAGGACACACAGCACUGGAAAGGCCACCCUUCCAAGAAUCCCAGGCAUGUGUUCCUUCACAAGAAGAUUAGAGGCCAGGGGAACACAGGUGAGUCAGUCAUGAGCUACAAAGAGUUAAUAUUGGAGCAGACCUGGCAAGGAGGUAAACAGUCUGUCGAAGGUUCCUGAGUCUUUUCUCUGCCUCUGCCAGCACCGGAGCAAUGGCUCAGCCAGGUAGCCGUCUCCUGUUGCUGGCUUGGAAAAUUUUCCAGGGGACUCUUCGAGCAUUAGCAUCUUGGAAUGAACCUGAUCCCAGUUAAAGAACCAAAUGUCAGAAAAGCUGAACAUAAAUCUUGCUUAGGGUAAGGAUUCCUUGACAGAUUUUUUUUUUUUUUUCACUAGGGUUACAAGAAAGAAAAGGCCAGCCUGAUUCUAUGAGCCAUGAUCAUAGUACUUCUCUUUCUGGAAAAAACUUGUGGUUGCAGAGGUUUUCUGUUAUUUGAGCUCCUGGAAACUGUCUAUGGCUGUGGGUCCUGCUCCCACAUCGGGGUGCUGGUUCCAUGGGACACUCCCUGCAGUAGACAGGCAGCGUUAGUCUAUUCUGUCAAAUGAGGUGCAGCUGUAUUCACUGCUUAUAGUGAAAUUCACAGGAAGUUAAACCACAAUCCGUGUUACAGAAUCCAUUCCAGGCAUUUGCAUUUUGCAAUAUUAAAGCAGGUAAAGUACAUCCUCGGGGUCUUCCACCCCCAGCUUCCAGAAGGCCAAUCUUAUACUACUUAUAACAACUGCAGCAGCUAACGUUUAGAGAGACCUUACUCUGCCCUGUUUUACAUCCAUAAUCUCACUAAUCCUCGUGACAAUCCUAUGAGAUACAUACUAUCCCCAUUUUAUAGAUGAAACUGACCCAGAAGGGUUCCAAAGCUUUUCUAAAUUCACACCGAACGUAUGUCAGAACAAAGAUGUGACCUUCAGGCUGUUGGAUUCCAGGGAUCCUGCUACUAACUUCUGGGUAAUGAUACCUCUGGGUAAAAUAAAAGACACUGAACCCCAGUGGGAUUGUUGCUU
Molecule: long non-coding RNA, 2736 nt
Filed under: Felis catus (domestic cat)
Lineage: Eukaryota; Metazoa; Chordata; Mammalia; Carnivora; Felidae
Description: lncRNA (ENSFCAG00000041426.2)
Source: RNAcentral